AUUGAACGCUGGCGGCAUGCUUUACACAUGCAAGUCGAACGGCAGCGCGGGCUUCGGCCUGGCGGCGAGUUGCGAACGGGUGAGUAAUACAUCGGAACGUGCCCAGUAGUGGGGGAUAGCUCGGCGAAAGCCGGAUUAAUACCGCAUACGACCUGAGGGUGAAAGCGGGGGAUCUUCGGACCUCGCGCUAUUGGAGCGGCCGAUGGCAGAUUAGCUAGUUGGUGGGGUAAAGGCCUACCAAGGCGACGAUCUGUAGCUGGUCUGAGAGGACGACCAGCCACACUGGGACUGAGACACGGCCCAGACUCCUACGGGAGGCAGCAGUGGGGAAUUUUGGACAAUGGGCGAAAGCCUGAUCCAGCAAUGCCGCGUGUGUGAUGAAGGCCUUCGGGUUGUAAAGCACUUUUGGCGGGAACGAAAAGGACUGUGCCAAUACCACGGUUCGAUGACGGUACCCGCAGAAUAAACACCGGCUAACUACGU
This 483-nucleotide ribosomal RNA is filed under the name uncultured bacterium. Its description in RNAcentral is "partial 16S ribosomal RNA". It matches the Rfam family "Bacterial small subunit ribosomal RNA", at positions 30 to 506 of the family's 1533-position model. The record is from RNAcentral.